This 406-nucleotide ribosomal RNA is filed under the name uncultured bacterium. Its description in RNAcentral is "partial 16S ribosomal RNA". It matches the Rfam family "Bacterial small subunit ribosomal RNA", at positions 30 to 526 of the family's 1533-position model. The record is from RNAcentral.
AUUGAACGCUGGCGGCAGGCCUAACACAUGCAAGUCGAACGAGUGGCGGACGGGUGAGUAAUGUAUGGGAAACUGCCUGAUGGAGGGGGAUAACUACUGGAAACGGUAGCUAAUACCGCAUACCAUCGGAUGAGCCCAGAUUGGAUUAGCUAGUAGGGGGGUGAAAGGCUCACCUAGGCGACGAUUCCUAGCUGGUCUGAGAGGAUGACCAGCCACACUGGAACUGAGACACGGCCCAGACUCCUACGGGAGGCAGCAGUGGGUAAUAUUGCACAAUGGGGGCAAGCCUGAUGCAGCCAUGCCGCGUGUAUGAAGAAGGCCUUCGGGUUGUAAAGUACUUUCAGCGGUGAUGCGUUACCCGCAGAAGAAGCACCGGCUAACUCCGUGCCAGCAGCCGCGGUAAUUC